Molecule: ribosomal RNA, 442 nt
Filed under: uncultured bacterium
Lineage: Bacteria
Description: bacterial SSU rRNA
Rfam family: Bacterial small subunit ribosomal RNA
Source: RNAcentral
AAUCAACGCUGGCGGCGUGCCUCAGACAUGCAAGUCGAAACGCGAAAUUUCCCUUCGGGGAGAAAGUAGAGUGGCGCACGGGUGAGUAACACGUAGGUAAUUUGCCUUUGGGUGGGGAAUAACUCAGGGAAACUUGAGCUAAUACCGCAUAAUGCAGCGGCUCGACAUCGAGACAGUUGUUAAAGCGGGGGAUUGGAGCAAUCCGACCUCGCGCCUAAAGAGAAGCCUGCGGCAGAUUAGCUAGUUGGUAAGGUAAUGGCUUACCAAGGCGACGAUCUGUAACCGGCCUGAGAGGGCGGUCGGUCACACUGACACUGACAUACGGGCCAGACUCCUACGGGAGGCAGCAGUCGGGAAUUUUGGGCAAUGGGCGCAAGCCUGACCCAGCAACGCCGCGUGAAGGAUGAAAUUUUUCGGAAUGUAAACUUCGCAAGAACAGGAA